Molecule: long non-coding RNA, 449 nt
Filed under: Pan troglodytes (chimpanzee)
Lineage: Eukaryota; Metazoa; Chordata; Mammalia; Primates; Hominidae
Description: long non-coding RNA NONPTRT010461
Source: RNAcentral
UUCUUUUGAAGCACCCAAGAUAGCUCAGGCUGCUGAACAGACACAAAUGGGAAACCUCUAGAAGAUAUUUAAAUCCCAGAAAAUUCUGUAACCAAGGCUCUUGAGUGGCUUGCUCCAGCCUGCUCCCACCCUGUGGAGUGCACUUUCCUUUAAAAUAAAUGUCUGCUUUCACUGUCUUGUUUUGUUUUGUGUGUUUUGUCCAAUUCUUUGUUUAAAACGCCAAGAAUCUGCACAGCUACCCUCAAUUGGUAACACUACUGACAUCCAUCACACACUCAGCCUUUUAUUGGACACCUGCUAUUUGUCAGACUUUGUGCCCACCCUCAUUUCCUAUGGGGAUGAAGAUUGUGGGGGUGGUGGGGAGUACAAAGUUACUGCAGAGGGCAGGACUGGUGGUGGCUAGGCUUGCACAGAUGGGGCCUCCGGAGAAGGGAAACAGGUUUAGCUAG